UUUGCAACUUCAAACAACACAAACAGACACAUAUAAAUAGUCGGAAUCCUUAAAACGAAAUAUUUGUAAGUAGACUGGGGUAGAGAGGAUAUGAAGAUGGGUUUUGGUAGACUUUGUUUUCUAAUGUUUCUUGCUGCUAUCAUUGGCCUCUCUGCUGCGUCUAGAAUUGGAGUAGAUGAAAACAGCGACCCUUAUUGCUCUGACGAAUGCAGAACUGGCAUUGGCGGCUCGGAUAUCACUGAAAAUUGCUGGAAUUUUUGCAAGGCUCAGAAUCAUUAUGACGGCUCCUGCGUGCGUCGAGGCAAAAAUUCAAAACUGCUUUGUUGUUGCAGGUACUAACCCCUAAAUGUUGCACACUAACCCAGAAUUUGGAAACUUCCACAAUAUAAUACUAUUAUUAAUAAGUACUCUUUAAAUUAAGAUUUUCAAAAUUUGUUCUCUGAAUAUGCAUUGUUUUUUUUUUUUUUUUUUUAAGUGUAUUGUGUUAUAAAUAUUAUAAUUUAUAUGGAUAUUAUUAUGUAACGGUCGUAUUUAUGUCUCUAUUUAUAUUUUCUGUUACGAUUUGUAAUGUAUAAUGUACCCAAGGAUGAAGAUGGAAUAAAAGAUUUAAUUUGCACUU
Molecule: long non-coding RNA, 619 nt
Organism: Ipomoea nil (Japanese morning glory)
Lineage: Eukaryota; Viridiplantae; Streptophyta; Magnoliopsida; Solanales; Convolvulaceae
Exons: 2
Source: RefSeq, a predicted model, not a curated record